This 1129-nucleotide ribosomal RNA is filed under the name Acinetobacter sp. 72431. RNAcentral describes it as "bacterial SSU rRNA". It matches the Rfam family "Bacterial small subunit ribosomal RNA", at positions 8 to 1131 of the family's 1533-position model. The record is from RNAcentral. Lineage: Bacteria; Pseudomonadati; Pseudomonadota; Gammaproteobacteria; Moraxellales; Moraxellaceae.
AGAGUUUGAUCAUGGCUCAGAUUGAACGCUGGCGGCAGGCUUAACACAUGCAAGUCGAGCGGAGAGAGGUAGCUUGCUACUGAUCUUAGCGGCGGACGGGUGAGUAAUGCUUAGGAAUCUGCCUAUUAGUGGGGGACAACAUUUCGAAAGGAAUGCUAAUACCGCAUACGUCCUACGGGAGAAAGCAGGGGAUCUUCGGACCUUGCGCUAAUAGAUGAGCCUAAGUCGGAUUAGCUAGUUGGUGGGGUAAAGGCCUACCAAGGCGACGAUCUGUAGCGGGUCUGAGAGGAUGAUCCGCCACACUGGGACUGAGACACGGCCCAGACUCCUACGGGAGGCAGCAGUGGGGAAUAUUGGACAAUGGGCGCAAGCCUGAUCCAGCCAUGCCGCGUGUGUGAAGAAGGCCUUAUGGUUGUAAAGCACUUUAAGCGAGGAGGAGGCUACUUUAGAUAAUACCUAGAGAUAGUGGACGUUACUCGCAGAAUAAGCACCGGCUAACUCUGUGCCAGCAGCCGCGGUAAUACAGAGGGUGCAAGCGUUAAUCGGAUUUACUGGGCGUAAAGCGCGCGUAGGCGGCUAAUUAAGUCAAAUGUGAAAUCCCCGAGCUUAACUUGGGAAUUGCAUUCGAUACUGGUUAGCUAGAGUGUGGGAGAGGAUGGUAGAAUUCCAGGUGUAGCGGUGAAAUGCGUAGAGAUCUGGAGGAAUACCGAUGGCGAAGGCAGCCAUCUGGCCUAACACUGACGCUGAGGUGCGAAAGCAUGGGGAGCAAACAGGAUUAGAUACCCUGGUAGUCCAUGCCGUAAACGAUGUCUACUAGCCGUUGGGGCCUUUGAGGCUUUAGUGGCGCAGCUAACGCGAUAAGUAGACCGCCUGGGGAGUACGGUCGCAAGACUAAAACUCAAAUGAAUUGACGGGGGCCCGCACAAGCGGUGGAGCAUGUGGUUUAAUUCGAUGCAACGCGAAGAACCUUACCUGGCCUUGACAUAGUAAGAACUUUCCAGAGAUGGAUUGGUGCCUUCGGGAACUUACAUACAGGUGCUGCAUGGCUGUCGUCAGCUCGUGUCGUGAGAUGUUGGGUUAAGUCCCGCAACGAGCGCAACCCUUUUCCUUAUUUGCCAGCGAGUAAUGU